CCACCCAGGACGAUGAGCGGCUGAGAUGGAGACGUCUGCCUCAGCCACUGCCUCCGAGAAGCAAGAAGCCAAAAGUGGGAUCCUGGAGGCCGCUGGCUUCCCCGACCCGGGUAAAAAGGCCUCUCCUUUGGUAGUGGCUGCAGCGGCAGCAGCAGCGGUAGCUGCCCAAGGAGUGCCGCAGCAUCUCUUGCCACCGUUCCAUGUGUCCCUACCAAUUGACAUGCGACACCAGGAAGGAAGGUACCAUUACGAGCCUCAUUCUGUCCACGGUGUGCACGGGCCCCCCGCCCUCAGCGGCAGCCCUGUCAUCUCUGACAUCUCCUCGAUCCGGCUUUCCCCGCACCCGGCUGGCCCUGGGGAGUCCCCAUUCAACGCUCCCCACCCGUACGUGAACCCCCACAUGGAACACUACCUCCGUUCUGUGCACAGCAGCCCCACGCUCUCCAUGAUCUCUGCGGCCAGGGGCCUCAGCCCCGCUGACGUGGCCCAGGAGCACCUUAAGGAGAGGGGACUGUUUGGCCUUCCUGCUCCAGGCACCACCCCCUCAGACUAUUACCACCAGAUGACCCUCGUGGCAGGCCACCCCGCGCCCUACGGGGACCUGCUGAUGCAGAGCGGGGGGGCUGCCAGCACACCCCAUCUCCAUGACUACCUCAACCCAGUGGACGUGUCCCGUUUCUCCAGCCCGCGAGUGACGCCCCGCCUGAGCCGCAAGCGGGCACUGUCCAUCUCCCCACUCUCAGAUGCCAGCCUGGACCUGCAGCGGAUGAUCCGCACCUCACCCAACUCGCUAGUGGCUUACAUCAACAACUCCCGAAGCAGCUCGGCGGCCAGCGGUUCCUAUGGGCAUCUGUCAGCAGGUGCCCUCAGCCCAGCCUUCACCUUCCCCCACCCCAUCAACCCCGUGGCCUACCAGCAGAUUCUGAGCCAGCAGAGGGGUCUGGGGUCAGCCUUUGGACACACACCACCCCUGAUCCAGCCCUCACCCACCUUCCUGGCCCAGCAGCCCAUGUCACUCACCUCCAUCAAUGCCACGCCCACCCAGCUCAGCAGCAGCAGCAACUGUCUGAGUGACACCAACCAGAACAAGCAGAGCAGUGAGUCGGCCGUCAGCAGCACCGUCAACCCUGUCGCCAUUCACAAGCGCAGCAAGGUCAAGACCGAGCCUGAGGGCCUGCGGCCGGCCUCCCCUCUGGCGCUGACGCAGGAGCAGCUGGCUGACCUCAAGGAAGAUCUGGACCGGGAUGACUGUAAGCAGGAAGCUGAGGUGGUCAUCUAUGAGACCAACUGCCACUGGGAAGACUGCACCAAGGAGUACGACACCCAGGAGCAGCUGGUGCAUCACAUCAACAACGAGCACAUCCACGGGGAGAAGAAGGAAUUCGUGUGCCGCUGGCAGGCCUGCACGCGGGAGCAGAAGCCCUUCAAGGCGCAGUACAUGCUGGUGGUUCACAUGCGGCGGCACACAGGCGAGAAGCCCCACAAGUGCACGUUCGAGGGCUGCUCGAAGGCCUACUCCCGCCUGGAGAACCUGAAGACACACCUGCGGUCCCACACCGGGGAGAAGCCAUACGUGUGUGAGCACGAGGGCUGCAACAAAGCCUUCUCCAAUGCCUCGGACCGCGCCAAGCACCAGAAUCGCACCCACUCCAAUGAGAAACCCUACAUCUGCAAGAUCCCAGGCUGCACCAAGAGAUACACAGACCCCAGCUCUCUCCGGAAGCAUGUGAAAACGGUCCACGGCCCAGAUGCCCACGUCACCAAGAAGCAGCGCAGUGACAUGCACCUCCGCACACCGCUGCUCAAAGAGAAUGGGGACAGUGAGGCCGGCACUGAGCCUGGCGGCCCAGAGAGCACCGAGGCCAGCAGCACCAGCCAGGCCGUGGAGGACUGCCUGCACGUCAGAGCCAUCAAGACCGAGAGCUCCGGGCUGUGUCAGUCCAGCCCCGGGGCCCAGUCAUCCUGCAGCAGCGAGCCCUCUCCUCUGGGCAGUGCCCCCAACAAUGACAGUGGCGUGGAGAUGCCGGGGACGGGGCCCGGGAGCCUGGGAGACCUGACAGCGCUGGAUGACACACCCCCAGGGGCCGA
RNAcentral lists this small RNA (2088 nucleotides) under Pongo abelii (Sumatran orangutan). Its description in RNAcentral is "processed transcript". Lineage: Eukaryota; Metazoa; Chordata; Mammalia; Primates; Hominidae. The record is from RNAcentral.